GCCCUUAGAGUUUGAUCAUGGCUCAGAACGAACGCUGGCGGCAGGCUUAACACAUGCAAGUCGAGCGCCCCGCCCUCUUUUUACCUUCGGGUAGAAAGAGGAUCACGGGGAGUGGCGGACGGGUGAGUAACGCGUGAACAAUCUGCCUUAAGGAGCGGGAUAACCUGACGAAAGUUGGGCUAAUACGGCAUAGGUCACAAAGGGGCAUCCCUUAGUGAUGAAAGGUGGGCUCUUUGAGACCACUGCCUUAAGAGGGGUUCGCGUCGGAUUAGCUAGCUGGUGGGGUAAAGGCCUACCAGGGCGACAAUCCGUAGCUGGUCUGAGAGGACGAUCAGCCACACUGGGACUGAGACACGGCCCAGACUCCUACGGGAGGCAGCAGUGGGGAAUUUUCUGCAAUGGGGGAGACCCUGACAGAGCGACGCCGCGUUAGUGAAGAAGGCCUUCGGGUUGUAAAGCUAUGUCAAGGUGGAAGAAAGUACCUGUUAGGAAAUGAGCAGGUAUUGACGGUACACCUAGAGGAAGCACUG
Molecule: ribosomal RNA, 530 nt
Filed under: uncultured delta proteobacterium
Lineage: Bacteria; Deltaproteobacteria
Description: bacterial SSU rRNA
Rfam family: Bacterial small subunit ribosomal RNA
Source: RNAcentral